Aedes albopictus (Asian tiger mosquito) is the source of this 17045-nucleotide long non-coding RNA. RefSeq lists it as uncharacterized. The transcript has 2 exons. Lineage: Eukaryota; Metazoa; Arthropoda; Insecta; Diptera; Culicidae. The record is from RefSeq and is a predicted model, not a curated record.
UUUUACGACGAUUUUUGAAAUAACGCGGUUUUUUAGGACAGACCGUGUAAAAAAGAACCCGCGUAAAAAAAAACUUCAGAGUAAUAUCGGUUUUCCUACUUAUGGUUUUGCCGACGACUACCCAACAUUGUUCCUGGACACCUCAUGUUGAGUUCAGAAUCAAGAAAGCUUUUAUGGCCUUCGGGCAAUGCCGGCGAACAUUUGGAGCAAUUUGGGGUCUAAAACCCAAGUAUAUCAAAUGGAUUUACACAACUAUUUUUCGACCAAUAUUGGCCUAUGGAUGUCUUGUGUGGUGGCAAAAGGGCGAAGUGCGAACGAUCCAAUCAAAGUUAGGCCAUCUCCAAAGGACGUGUUUAAUGGCGAUGCUUGGAUCGUUCUCUUUAACUCCCACGGCAGCGCUCGAAGUUCUUUUGAUGUUGCCCCACUACACAUUCAUCCCAAACAAGAAGCACUUUCUUGCACUUACCGGCUAUGGGUACUCAGUCUACUAGAAGAAACUCCUGCGAACCGCACAUCAACUCGUUGUUUCCACUUUUAGUGAAUUGGGACAAAAUUGCCCUUGCUCCAAGUGAUCUUACAAUUGCUUGUAAUUUCCCAUAUAGGGUGACAUUGGGUAUUAUCGGCAGGUUUGUUCUCUUCGUCAUGGGGGGUUUUUGUCAGCCAAAUUGCCUGAAACUUGGCCAUCUAAUUCACAUUGGUUGGGAAGGAUUUGAGGCCAACUCUGAGUUCAAUAGGUUUUAAAAAAAAACCCCAAGACGAAGAGAACAAAACGGCCGAGAAUAGGUAAUUUCCCCUAGGACAUUUUCCACAAAAUUCCCUUCCCGGGAAGAGUGGACAUCUGGAUAUCUGGAAAGAAGUAUUUCAGACGGCUUAGAGUGUUACACUGAUGGCUCCCUUCUCGAAGGUCAAGCAGAUGUUCAGUUGCUAGCCAGACAUUGCUCGCGUCAUACGUAAUUCUUUGUCUUUCUUGCUUUCCUUCGCGUUUGGUGAAAAAUGUCGAGUGCGCGAAAAAACACUCUAAUUAUUGAUUUUAGUGUUCUGCCGAUACGCCCUGAAAUUGCUAAAGUGCGAGAUUUUCUGGAGAAUGAAAUUAAGCUCCAAUAUUCGGACAUUCGGAGCAUACAGUUGCACCAUACCCGCAACUGCGUGUUCAUUGAGAUGAUUUCUCAUGAAAUUACUGUUCGCUAUCAAAAAGAGCAUAACUGGAGGAGAGUUAUGCUUUGUGGAGACGUAAAGUUUCGCAUACCGAUUUUUGUGGAUUGUGAUGCCGUGACGGUACGGGUGCACGAUCUUUCCCCGUCAAUGAACCACGUCACAAUCGCUGACCAUAUGUUAAAGUAUGGCGAGGUUAUAUCCAUAAGGAAUGAGAAGUGGAAGCACUACUUUCCUGCACUCAGGCAAAUAAACCUACGAUUAUCAUAAGGUCUAACUUAUGAAAUGGCCUUUAAACACUUCAUAACGGCUAGAACGAUUUUCAUAAGGUCGGUCUAUGACGCAGAAUCGACUCACAGUUUGGCUUUUAUACACAUUUAGCAACACGAUAUUCUCAAGCGUCGAUAGCCGCGUGGGUUGGGCACGAGCUCAGUGAUCUCGUCGUUCAUGGAUCGAUUCCAGUCUGCAUCAUUUUGUGAUUUUUCUGCUCUUUUCAUAAGUUUAUCUUAUGUUAUUAGGUCAUAAUAAGCAUGUUCAAUUUUCAUAAGAUAUUCUUAUGGCAUCCAUACUUUACAGUUAUGGCUAAAUUUCAUAAGGUAUUUUGAUGAAUUUCGGUAGUUCACUUCGCUGAGUGUGGUAUAGCCAACGGGGUGCGAGUACUGAGAAUGAACCUACUCCGUCACAUUCCCUCGUUCAUUACCAUCGUAACUCACGAAACCAUGGUUUCUUACAUCGAUCAACCGAAAUCAUGUCGCCACUGCGGCCAACCGUCUCAUCCUGGCGGAAAAUGCCCGGACUCGAACGUCGUUUCUUCCCAUCCAAAUGUGAGAACACCAACUUCGACGACGUCAAAGUCAUUCGGCGGGUUAUUUAAUUGUGAUGAUUUCCCACCGAUAAACGAAGAGCGACAAACGCCAUCAUCACCCAUUCACUCGAACAAAACAGCACGCAGAGAAACAACAAACCAACAGAAGACUGAUGACGACGACUGGACUGAUGAUGACAAAGCAUCGAGCUCAUCCACCGAACACAAUAGUGCAUCGAACAAGCGACGGCGAUCGAGACGCAACAAUGCACAGCUUACAACGAAAAAGGCUUGCUCUGAUCAGUGCCCCCCAAACGCUGAUCAUGCGGUACAAACGUUAUCACCGGAUGAAAAAGAAGGGUCAUCAAAAAAUAAAUUUAUUAACGAUGUAAAUUAUCCUAUACAAAAUAGAAAAUGAAAACCGGCUCUGUUAAGCUUAAUUUGGCGGGUGAGCCUUGAAAUAAACGAAAUAGUAAAAAAAAGCAGAUGUUGGUGUUUAUUCUCGUGAGCUAAGGCUGCAUCAGUCUUAUUCACUUGGUGGACACUGCACCGUUUGUCAGACCGAAAUCUUUGCUCUUAUGUGAGGAGUACAAUCAGCACUUCAGCAGCACGUAAUGGGCAAAGUAAUAUCACAGACAGACAGACGUAAUGGCUUGGAACAAAUUGCGAUAAAAAUCAUCGUCACGAAAACAUAAUCGCCCAAUGCUAACCAGGCUGUGUUACGCAAACCACUCAGUAGGUGGCAGUAGUGAGCAAACGUCAAACAGGAGCAAAAACGAUGUGAGCGCCGUGACCGAGAGAUUUGCGAACUACAAAAUAUUUGAACUAACCAUUGAAAAGGUAACGAUGAGAAGUGAGUAGAGUGAGACGUCUGUUUGUCUGUGAUAAUAUACUUCUGUUUAGAUAGCCUGGUUGCUAUUAAAGCACUUGCUUCGGCUAACUCUAGGUAGAACAUAGUUAUUGCUUGUCGAACUCAAAACGAGGAGCUGAAUUCAGCAAACGCUGUUCACCUUGUAUGGGUACCUGGCCAUUCUUCCAUCGCUGGAAAUGAAUUGGCUGAGGAGUUAGCUCGCACUGGAGAAUUACAUGACUUUAUUGGCUCUGAGCCAGCUAUUCCGGUAUCGAAGUGUUGGGUAAAGCUUCAGAUUGAGACCUGGGCUAACACUCAACACAGAUAAUACUGAAAUAGUUUGGAGUCAUGUCGUCAAACAAAAUUGUUUUGUACUGAGCCAUCUCCAAGGGUGGCGAAAUAUCUUACAAAUCUGUCAAAGCAGAAUUGCAGCAUUAUGGUCAAAGCAUUGACUGGCCACUGCCGACUCAACAAUCACAUGCUGAAUAUUCAGCAAGCUGAGUCAUUUGUAUGUGAUAGCUGUGAAUCCGAUUAUGGAACUUCGUAUCAUUUGAUAUGUAAAUGUCUAGUUUUUGCGCAACUGCGUUUCCGAGUAUUUGGUAAACACUUAUUAAGCGAAACUGACUCAGAAACCUGAAUCUUCAGGAUAUUCUGUUGUUCUUAACCCGCUGUGGUAAAGAGCUAUAGGUUCUCUUUCGCUUUAUGCGUUAUUACAGUGCCAUUUUCAGGGCGCUGUUUAAACCCUUUGUGGUACGCUCAUGCGUUAGUACCCUCUUCCAGGGUAUUUUUCCUAUUUCCCUACCUGUCCUUAUCCCAAUCCUUACACUUAUUUCCUUCAUUUUCCCUCAGGUCGAUGAUGAAAUAGGCUUUUAUUAUGGCGAUGGCACAAAUGUCCCAAAUGGAAAAUACAGGGCUGUUACAGAAGGGUCGAUGUGGAAACUGCAAAAUCUGCGCCAAGCCAAAUGAAAUCCGCGCCGAGGUGACCAACUCCGCGCCAGUACAAAAACAUAUGGUUUUGAUGAAUCAAACUCAUAUAAAGCCAGAUUUUUUUUUGAGAAAAUUUACUAUUCGUGACAUUUGUUGCAAUACAUAUGAAGAGUAUUUCUAUUGAUAAAUUUAGAACAAUAGUUUAAAAAACGUUGAAGGCAGGUUAAAGUUUUUUUAAUUGAUUUAAAAAAUGUUUGAUUAAUAGUUCCUUGAUUGCUUAUUAAUUAGGGUGUCUCCUGUUUAACGAGAAUAUAAUUUGCUGUUCACUGCAACAGUUACAAAAAAGAGCAUUCUUGACGAAAGUUUUGAUAUAAUUUAUAGCCAACAUAAUGAACUCCUGUAAAAAGUCUGGAGUAAGCCAUAAAAGCUGGUUCGGAAAAAAUGUAUGAUCAUUGUCAGAAACUUUUGAGAAAUUCAUGGAUUACUUUUUGUAGACAUUUAUAUCGCGAAGAUACAAAUGGAAUACAGUUGACUCUCGACUUCUCGAUAUUGAAGGGACCCAUCGAGAUAGGGAGAGAUCGAACUCAAGAACCAAUUUGUAAUGCACACUAGAUUGAAAAAUCGUCCGUAACUAGGAAAAACCAUCAACAAACAGAUGUCACUUCGCCUUCCCAGAAUGUUUUGCACCUAAGAAACGAGAUCUAGCAAUUUGUAAAAACGGGCAUAUCGACAUAUGGAGAGGAAAUGUAGAACAAAACCGAACGAGAUCGCAUCAAGAUAGAGAGAUAUCAAGACAAGGAGAUAUCGACAUGUAGAAAGGUAAAAUGUAUGCAGAUUGAAGGGACCGACCAAACCAUCGAGAUAGGGAGAGAUAUCGAGAUGUAGAACAUCGACAUGUGGAGAAACGACUGUAAUACUAAUGCAAUUUUUUUUAAUGAACAAUACAUACUUUUUAAUCCUAAGGGAAAUAUUUCUAAAAAAGGAUGAACUACAAAAAUGUCUGAAAAGUUUAAACAUUAAGUAAAAGGUGUAAAAACGUAUUAUUUCGAGAAAAUUUUAUAAAAAGAGGUUCUGGCCACACCUAACCCGUGAAAAUUUAGUGAAGAUUUCAGUGAAAAUGACCCGUGAAUCCGCCACAUCGACGAUUCUUAUGAACUAGAUGAGGUAUAAAUUUUAUAAUUAUAACGACCAUCGUUAAACGAUAUGUAGAAGUUGCUAAUAUAAAAUUACAAUUUGGUCCGCGUAUGAUCCAUUUCACCCCGCUGAUCAAUUAGGUUUACGGUAGUUUUUGAAGCAUCGUGGUACGGCUGACAUAAGAAAUACCACUGUCAUUACUUGUUGAAUUGUAUGUAAUGGCUUUCGCGACACCAUCCCCCCUCACCUUUAGACACUAUAGAUUCCAUAGACUCGCGGAGGCGAAGACAACUGUAGCCAAAUGAACUGUCAGUUCCUGUAGCCAAACGAGCAUGACGUCAUGAUUUCAAUAGUGACAAUGGAUUGCGUGACGUCAUAUUCGCUCGGUACACUCUAAAUUCACGGCAAAACACACUGUUCCGGGAGAUAGACAAAACACUGAUCAAUUCCUUUUAGCAGAUCGCCAUUUUUAUUUCUUGCAGCAAUACAGCUUGAAGCUGAAAUAUAUUUUAGCCAUUAGUAUUAAUUAACAAAUUCAACUUCUUAUGAAUUCCUCUGCUCACAUUUUUCAGUGUUAUGAUUUAAAAAACAGCACAAAUAUGGUGAAAAUAGAUAAAAGAUGAAAAUAUUAACAGUAUGCUUAAUGGAGGUUCUUCCUCGGCGCACGACUUUUCCAGUUCUGCCUGUCGAGCGCAGUUUGUAAGGUUGUCAGACCCGACUUCCGCUGUGUGCUUGCGUUCGCUUCGGACUGACAGCGUUUUAACAUUGGGCGUUCGUCGGCUCACUUGAAACCGUGUUGCCAGUUGCCGACACACACCAAAGUCGUUUUGCUCAACCAUGUCUCCACGAGUCUAUGGAAUCUAUAGUGUCUAUACCCUCACCACGCUUUUCGAAGAACAAUGGAAGCGUGUGUGCAUGUGGUUGGAGGUUGUGAAACGAAGUUUGGGAAAUUGCUUUUAGAAACCGACAGAAACAUAUUGUUAUUAUUAGGUUAGCUAGGUAUUCGUAAGCUAAAUCUGAAAGAAUUUACGAGUAAGUCUUUUAAAAAAAAUAUUUUAAUGCACACUUGUAAUUCUGCACAUCUACGGCAAAAAUUAUCGAAAGCUGAACCAGGUUUAAGUGUGAGCUAGUGCUAAAGGGAAGUAAUGACGCAUUGAUAAUGUGUAAAUGCAAUUAUUUGUUCAAGUUAUGUAUUGUAUGUUAAGGUUCAAGGAAUGAGCCAGCCUAGGGCUGAAAAUCUCUAUAAUCUACCAGUAAAAAACAGAUUGACAGGAUUCAGAUCAAGAUAGCAGAAACGGAACGUACCAACAUCAAGCAAUCUGUUCAAUGCCAAACGCUCACGACCAUCGAAAAGAAGAUUGAGUUGAUCGAAUCGGGGGCAAAACUCGCCGGCACAUUAGCAGAAAAUGCAAACAGUUGUCGCCUUGCCAUCAACAAGGUACCAGUUAAGAAAAACGAGAACGUUAGGGCUAUCGUCGAAAACAUCGUCCAAUUUCUAGACCUUCAACAUACAAUCCCGCGGCUGGUAACGUGCUUCAGGGUGCCACCAAAACCGUCAAAGUGGACCGAUCGUUCGAUUACUCCCACCAUCAUCGCAAUAUUCACCGAUCGCGGGACCAAAGAGGCCGUCCUUCGGAAAUACAGGGGAUGGCCAAAAUGUUUGGGAUAGGCAACUUUUUUUCUUUCACAAAAAAGUUCAACAUGCUGUAACUUUUCAUAGAGUGCAUCAAAUAUUCUCAGAUUUCGACCGUUUGUCAACCUAUUAUAUGUGCAUCAGUGGUACAAAUUUGAGCUCGAUUGGUUAAUCUUUCGCAAAGUUAUAACCGUUCUGGUAAAACACUAUUUUUGAGACUAUCAAUUUUUGAACUCUCAUAUCUCAUACCAGUAAACAGAAUUGAAUGGAAUUUUGAGCAAUUAUCAAUAAUAUAAAAAUGCUUAAAAUUUCAUCAAAAUAUAGGUACUUUUUAAACGUUGAAAAAAGUUAUGAUGGAUUGACAAUUUUGAAUCUUUUUCGAAAAAAAUGUAUUUAUUUUUACAUCAAUGUCAUUAAAUUUUAUUUUUGAUAUCCAAAGAUUUUCUACUUCUGUUCAGGAGAUAUCUAUAAUAAGAUAUAUUAGAGCCUAUUUGGAUUAAAGGAACAACAUGUUUAGUAUUUUUUGUGCAGUAUUGUAAAUUUUACUCAUUUUCCUCUAUAUGGGUGAAAAUGUCAAACCAUCAUAACUUUUUCCAACGUUUAAUAAGUACCCAUGUUUUGAUGGAUUUUGAUGAUGCUUGAAAAUUAUUAUAUUGUUGAUAAUCGCUCAAAAUUUCAUUCAAUUCGGUUCACUGGUCUCUGAGAUAUGAGAGUUCAAAUAUUGAUAGUCUUAAAAAUAGUGUUUUACCAGAACGGUUAUAACUUUGCGAAAGAUUAACCAAUCGAGCUCAAAUUUGUACCAAUCAUGCACAUAUAAUAGGUUGACAAACGCAUGUUGAACUUUUUUGUUAAAGGAAAAAAGGCCUAUCCCAAACAUUUUGGCCAUCCCCUGUAUUUUGAGGUGUACAAAAGAGCUAAACUAUCCGCUUGGGAGAACAGUUUCCCUGUUGAUUAUAAAUUCACGAUGAACGAGGUGCUUUCGGUUAACCCUUUAAUACCCAAAUUUAUGAUUUUGAUCUAAAUAUCAUUUUUCGUCAUCUAAAAUCGAUUUAAACAUGUUUUGGAAGAUGAUUCUUUUUAAUUCUCGAUUUAGUGAAUUUCAGUUUCUGAUUUUUCUAUUUUUUAUUUUUGAACAUCCCUACAGUUUUAUAUUUUUCCUGGAAGCCUAUUUGGGGUACGGAUUUUUUGAGAUGAAAACAUUUUGAGAUUUUAUGAUUAUUGUUGAAAUAUUAUUAUUUUAAUUUUUUUUCACAGAAAAUUUUAUUUUCCGUAUAAUUUUAAGGAAAAUAAUUUUAGAGUGUAUUCGAUUCCCUUAAACUGUUAAACAAGGAUAGAAUGAUUUGGGAAAAAUUUAAAAUAUGUUAAUUGUAGCGAUUCAAUACAAAAUAAACAAUGACUUCUAAAAGGUGACUAAAACAUCAAUUUUUCAAUGAUUUAAAAAAAAUGUAAAUACGCUUUACAAUACACAAAAAACCAUUUUGAGAUAUACAAAACAGUCCUAAAUAUGUAUGUAUGUGUAUGUAUGUACAAUCCAUCUCCCACUGACCGGCAGUGCUUUUAUGGAAGAAAAAUGUCUGCGUCUAUUUUAACUUUUAUCCAUAGACGCAAACAGUUUUAGUCCUGGAAAUAGAAGGUGAUAGCUCUACUGCACGUCCAACGACCCAUUUCAAGUAUGACAGGGCUUCCACGUACAUCUUGAGGUCGUUUUCUGAAACAGUAAGCCUCGCAUUGAUGCAUCCGGAUAUCAUUUGGAUAUCUGAAAUGCAUUAACACUUCCUGAAUCAAAAAUUUGCAUUUUUGUUUCUGGCGCGUAUUUGGUAUGGUAAAUAUCCCAUGUAUGAUUAAAAUGACGUUUUUUAAUUAGAAAGAUCUCACCAAGUUCUUCAUAGUCUGCCGUGAUGUAGUUGUAUUCUCAUUUCUCCAGCGGUGCAGCAGCGAUCGAAAUAGGAUUUAUUUCAUUACCGCGUACACUUAAAACGACGUACUCUUCACUUUGCCUCCAAAAUCACACUAAACCGCCCCGUACGAAGAUGAGCACAGUCAAAUCGUCGACAACGACGACGCGGCCGGUCCUAAUGAAAAAAGCGUCUUUUCACUUUGCCUCCAAAAUCACACUCAUACAAAACAAUCCUAAAUAUCAGCCAAAAAUACAAAAAAAUUAUUUUCCGCGAAACAAAAAUUACAAAAAUGCUCAAACUAUACCCCGUCUAAAGGUGGGAUUGGGUAUUAGAGGGUUAAUACAUUCCGCACCCACAAUUUCGCGCUUUGACUCAAACAACAGAAACUUGUCGAAUCUGUUUUUGUAAAAAAAUGAUCGGGUGUCCGUUCGGCUACCAGGUCAGAAAAGAUAUUGUCUAGUUGACGAUACCGAACACCUCAUCCAGAUCACCAGCACCUCUGAUGAAGAAGCCCAAACUUCCGUUUUCUUCGAUGCUCGUUCAACAAAUUCUUCCUUCGUUACACCAAACUAGUAUUACAUCGCAAGCUGACGAAUAUAAAACUACCUUCUAUGUGUACAUCAAACCUUGUAAAAAAAAAUUUUGAUCAUUUAUGACUUACUAGCUGUCCCGGCAAACUUUGUCUUGCCAAGUAGUGGUGGUUUGACAGUUGUUAGGGUCACUGCAGCACGGCACUCUAGAUUGGUUUCAUUUCAAUCGUGUUGAUUGAAUCCCAGGUCAUGAAAAAUCAUUACUUUACCAUUUUUCUUACUGUUUUACUUAAUUUUCAUAUUUUUUUUUACUUAUAAACACAGCCACCAUGAAUACGAAUCAAACCAUGCAAGAGUCAUCCUGAUCGGUUCAGCCAUUCGUGAGUUUUGUUGCCUCAAAGGGACUUCAAACUCAUUUUUAUAUAUAUAGAUAUAUUGAGCUAUCAAAAACAUUUAACUAAACUUAAAACUUCACACGGAAGAAAAUUAUUUCGAUUAGAUUAUUUUUCUAAUAUGUUAAAAAUUUAUCCAAAACUUCAUCAUCGUUUCGAAAUUCGAGAUGGUAAUUAUAGUUCAUUUAAAUUCCCUCUAUUUGACUUGAAUAUAUUUAUGUUUCAAAGGAAAGCAACGAAAUAGCCUUCAUUAAAUUGAACAAAUAAUGGGAUGCAUAUGAAAAAUAGAUAAAUAUACUGAAAAAACAUGGAAUAAAUGAAAUCGCAAUAACUUUUUUUCAUAUUACUAAUUUCAAAUUAAGUCAACUGUUUUUCAAAGUUCAUUAUAUUAGUCACAAAUGAUCAAAAUUUCAUUGCAUUCGGUUCAUUGAAUCCGGAGAUAUAACAGCUCAAAGUUGGCUAUCGAAUAAUUAUACCUUUUUCUAGAAUCUUUAUAGCUUCGUGUAGAAUGGCCCGAUCUUUUCCAAAUUUUGACCACUGAUACACAACUAGUUGAUGAACUUACAGUAAAAAUUUGAGAAUAUUUGAUACCCUUUUCAAAAAGUUACAGCGAGUUGAACAUUUUUUGAAAAGUGAAAAUUUUACCUGUCCCAGUUGUUUUGAUUAUCCCCUGUAGGUCACCUUAACGUUCGUGGUCUCGAAUGUUCAAUAGGACAGAUCGGUGAAGUACUAGAUUUGUAGUAAUGAGCUGAAUUUUAGUAUGGUGAGAAGGUCAAUUCUCCGUUUCUGCAGUAAAAUGGCGCAAAAAGCGUGGGUAUUAUGAUUCCUUGCCUAAUUUAAUGCUGUUUGAGCAAAACUUUGGGCAACAGUGUUGUUGUUUUCUCCAUUUCUUGCAAUAUAAACAACAUAGUUAUUCAAAGUUUUGCUCAAUCAGCAUCAAAUUAGACAAGAAAACAUAAUACCCACGCUUUUUGCACCAUUUCAUUACAGAAAUAGAGAACUGACCUUCUCACCAUACUAAAAUUCAGCUCAUUACUACAAAUCUAGUACUACACCGAACGUGCCCCAUUGACGGCAUCAAACUCCUACUCGACAAACAAAACUACCACUUUUUCGGAUUGAUGGAAAUCAAGAUGACGCAGUCUGCACCAGUACACAGAAAAAAAUAUGUAAUUAAAAUUAAGCGAGAAAUCAUGCACAUAAAGGGAAUGCUAGAGUUAGUGCACUUUUACAUGAGAUAUAAUGUAAAAUUACAUCACCAUCGUGUAAAUUUCCGCCAACCAUCGCGUAAACCAUCAUGGACUCCAACCGGUUACGCGACUAUUAGCGGAAAUUUACACGAUCGUAACGUAAUUUUACAUGAUAUCUCGUGUAAAUAUGCACUAACUCUAGCAUUCCCUUUAUGUGCAUGAUUUCUCGCUGAAUUUUACAUGAAUAUUUUUUUCUGUGUAGGGCCAGUACGCAUCCCGGGGUAUAAUUUCAUCCGUCACUGUCUUCCAACUAAGCGAGGACGAGGCAGCAGCACUUAUGGUGGCGUUGACGUGUAUGUUAAAAAGGGAAUCAAGGCGACCCCGAUCCUAAAAUCAUCUUUCGACGCAAGACUGCCAAUAGGACACGUUCGGUGUAGUACUAGAAUUGUAGUAAUGAGCUGAAUUUUUGUAUGGUGAGAAGGUGAAUUCUCCGUUUCGGCAAAGAAAUGGUGCAAAAAACGUGGGUAUUAUGAUUCCUUGCCUAAUUUAAUGCUAUUUGAGCAAAACUUUGGGUAAAUGUAUUGUUUACAUUGCAAGAAAUGGAAACAACAACAACAAUGUUGCCCAAAGUUUUGCUCAAACAGCAUCAAAUUAGGCAAUGAAUCAUAAUACCCACGCUGUUUGCACCAUUUCCUUGCAGAAACGGAGAAUUCACCUUCUCACCAUACAAAAAUUCAGCUCAUUACUACAAAUCUAGUACUUCCUGAUUGUGUCCUAUUGCGACACAGUUUGAGUAUCUAGCACUGCAAAUCAAAAUCAAUCAUCUCAACAUUUUCGUUGCUGUGGUAUACAACUCUUCCGGAACUAACCCGCUUUUCGCCGCGAACUACGAAAAACUUCUUCUCGACCUCUUGGACUUCAACUUCGACAGAACCUUCAUCAUUGGUGACUACACUGAAAGGCGGCUUGCAGUAAUGACAAGCAUAACAAUGUUUAUAAAUUUACCAUGGCAAAACAUGAUCAUCGACCCACCAACGCUUCUUGUGUGCGUUUUGUUUCUUCUCACAUCAACCGGUUCGAUAGCCGAGUGGUAGCGUGCUAGCCUGGUGAUAUCAAGGUUCUAGGUUCGAAUCCUAAUAUGGGGCAAAAGUUCGCAUUGGAGUACUUGUUUUAAAAAUUGUAUUACUAAAACUACAAAAGGAACGCGAAAAAAUCUAGUACUACGUUUUGAAGGCAACAUGAUAGGCACCCGUUUAACGAAGAAAAACGAUAUUGUUUUCUUUUCGUUUAAUGGUUAUUUUGUGAAGUCUGCUAGGUGCGAACUUUUGCCCCGCAUUACUCUAGCAUGCAUUGAGAUUAGAAUAAAGUAGGUACAUACUACAGUUGACACCACAUCUUGAUGUUCUACAGGUAAAUAUCAUCUUUUACCGACUUUACGAACCCUUUAAGCAGAAUACCCUCUUCGAAUGAGUGUAUUCAGUUUUGUUUAAUUCUGCCCUCUAUAGAGAGCGGAAUUAAAAGGUACAAAACUGAUUACAGUUCUUGUAUCACUUGGAUAUCACUUUAUCUCCCUGUCUUUAUUCGAUCCCGAUGGUUUUUGUUCUAGAUUUUCUCUCGAUUUGUCAAUAUACUAUUUUUAUAGGUUACUGUAUACCUGAUUUCCAAGGUGCAAAUUAUUCUGAGAAGGUGAAAUUAUAUCUGUUUGGCGAAAGGUUUUCCUUGUUACAAAAGUUUCAAAAUUGGUUCUUCUUUUCGAUCUCUAAAUUAUUCACGCAAAGAAUUUUCAGCUAUUCAAAACUAUGAUAGUUCAUUUUGAAUCAAACAAUAUCUUUUUAUUGUUUUAAAAAAGUUAUUAUUUGAAACAAUUUAGAUUUUUUUUCAAAACAAAGUACAACUAUUAUUGAUGUUUUUGAGCACUACCAUUUUGUUUUCGAAAGGAAAAGACAGGAGCGAAGAUGAUCGCAACAAAAGUAGUCAACAAUUGAGCAGCGGAUAACUAUUUCAAAAGCUCCGGUAAGUACCUUCAAUUUUUUCACUACUAAUGACUUAUUGUAGCGAUCUGUUGUUAAGUUUUAGGCGCGGUUUUUGGCUUGGUUUCAAAGAAAUUGCAUUCGAAAACACGAGUGCCGGACGAACGGAUCACCACAGGUAAUUUUGGUAUUUACGCAUAUUUACUCGUAUUUUACAUAUUUUUAACAUAUUUGCUUCUAGAGACUACAGAAAGACCUCCCACGUUAUAGGAAGUACCUAUCGGUAACAUAUCGAAAGAAAAACAAGCAAACCUAUAGGAAAAUAAUCACCAAAAAUAAAAUGAAUGAUGAAUUUUGAUUCUUUGCUUUUUUUCCUUUUCUAAUGCACAAAAUAAAGAAACAUAUCAUUCUAAUGAAUAAAAUACAAUUUGAUUCAAUACGACAUGCAUUAUUGUUUCAACAAAUAAAUUUUACUGUUUUAAAGCUAUAUUUUUGUUGUUCUAAAAAAUAUAUUUUUUAAAACAACAAAAUUACUGGUUUGGCUGCUAUUGACCGUAGCUGUCAAAUUCAAUAAUAUUUUUUGUUGAAUCAAAUUCACGAUGCGAAUAGAAUCAAUAAAAGCUAAUUAUAGGCCGGCAAAUAAUGCAGAAUUUUUAUCAAAGUAAUACAGAAUAUAUUCAUGAUUAAAAUUCUUUUCUCUGCGUGUUCAACAAAUUUCAGUUCAUUCUGCUCAUCUCGAUAUAUCGAGAUAGGAUAGUCCUUCAACAUGCGGCGAAUCAACUGUUAUUUGUUUAAAUAUUUAUUUGAUUGGCUCCUCAAGACAUGUUUGACACUUUUAGAUCGAAAAGAAGUUCAGCUUGUAUCGACCGAAUGGCUUAUUUUUUCGUACUGGAGAGAUUUACGAAAAUAACCACGUUACUUCUCAAGGAAUCUCUCGAAAUCAUGCUACCGAUGGUAUGGAGAGGGUUCUGUUGACUUGAAUGGACGGGCAUUCAGGGAUGUGCCGAGCUUCUGAACCUAAAAAAAAUAUAUUCUAUCGUUUCUUGCAGCUACACUGUUGAACAAAUUACACAACGUUUUAUCAAGAUUAUGAAUACACUUGUUCACAUGGUUCAAGCAACUAUGGCUUUGUUUCGUGAAUAGCUUAUUCAGAUUAAAGAAUGGCCAGCUUCUUACCCUGACCAGAACCCAAUUGGGAAUUUGUAGGGUUGAUUAUAAAAGCAGUGUGUAAAUAUAAUAAACAGUACGGAUGUUUUACAAAUCUAAACCGUGUAGUUGUUUGAAAGUGGAAUAAAAUCCAUUAAAAGUUAAUUAAAAGAAUCCUGGAUAGGCUGUUUAAACUUAUUACAUACGAACAAAAGAGAGACUACUUAUUAUUGAUAUGUUGAAUGUUUUGUGUGGCUUAAAUUAGCUAGAAUGAAUUCUCGCUUGGAUCUAUUGUUAUGAAACAAGGGAACUUAUAUAAGAUUAUUUAUAAGGUUCAAAGAACACAUGUAAUAUCGAAUUAUUAUUUUUCUCAUGUCUACUCUAAAUAAUGAAUUGAACAGGAGAACAAUAUGAUUCGAAUUCAUUCUACAUAUCCGAGUAUCCAAAAAUAUUGUUUGGAUCUAUAGUUAUGAAACAUAGUGUACGAACUCCUACAACGUGCCCAGUUUGUACCAAAAUUCGGAACUUCCGCAGAAUAGAUCCUGUGCAUCUUCAAGCAGAUUUCUUGGCUUAAAAUUGGGAGCCUUUCCAUCGUACACAAGAUGUUGAAGAGAAAUCACAACUUCUUACAGCCGAACUUCGGUUCCUUCUAGAUUAUCAUGCCCCGAAACAACCAUCUUCAUAAAGGACAAACGGACACCCUGGAUUACUGCUGAAAUUGAAGAAGCGAUCGAAAUGAGAAAUCUAGCAUACUCUCUUUUCUCUCGCAACCGAAAUAAGCGCAGAGGUGAUGUACACUGGAGCGAAUAUACGAGACAACGCGACAAAGUGAAAACGCUUAUUUUCGCAGCUAAGAAGCAAUUCGCGGAAAGGCAUUUUUCUUGCGAGCUACCGGCAAAACAACUUUGGAGUAAUCUAAAACGGGAAGGGGUACACAAUCCUUCAAAAAAGGGCAUGUGUAAUGAAAACGUCGAUGCCGAUCAGCUGAAUCUGUUUUUCUCUGAAGGACAUCGUUUGCUCCUGCCCAACAAUCACUCCGUGCAACGCGAUGAACCUGAAAAUAACUUCCAGCGUAGUCAACAAGCAUAGGCGCCAACUUAGGGGGGGGGCAAGCAUAGGUUUGCCCCCCCAAUAAUUGAGGAUUUUUCAAUUUUCCCAUAGAGUACUGCAAGCACCUGAUCUAACCUCACUUUGUCUGACAGUUUAGCGAGCUUGUUUACAAGGUGUUAGAAUUUUUAACGAGCGGCGAAAAUUUAAUUUACGUUUACCAUCUCGAAAUCAUUAUGAUACGGAAAUAUCGAUUAUAUUCAACUCUACUAGUACAAAACCAAUCGUCUAAUUACCGUUUUACUGAAAUUGUAUCGAAAAACAUUUUUGCCGGAUCUCGGCCAGAGACUAAGUCCAUGUAAACAAGCUCGCUGAACUGUCAGUGCACGGCUUCGUGACGUCAUCUUGCAGUAUCCUAUACAAACAUCAGAAAAAAACAAGCUUUGCCCCCCCAAUAUUUUGACCAAGUUGGCGCGUCUGUCAACAAGCAUUUCGUUUCCAACAUACCAAUGCAGACGAUGUUUCAAAGAAAAUGUGGGAAAUUCACAGUAACGCUACUGGCAGCGAUUGUAUACCAAUCUCCUUCAUCAAAUUGCUAUCACCAUUCAUUCUUCCUCACCUAGUGCAUCUUUUCAAUGCCAUAAUUGACACCGAAUCGCAUCCAUCAUGCUGGAAAAGGGCAAUAGUGACUCCGAUUCCUAAAAUAUCAAACCCAAUAGACCCAAAAGACUAGGGUAAACAGGUAUAAUAUGCCCCCCCUAAGCAGAAAUGGUAAUAUAUCUGAAACUGGCGCCUUAUUCCAUCUAUUGUUCACUGCAAAUCGUUGUUACUAAAGUUAUUGAAGUGUUGCAUGCGAACUUUGCCUUUGGAGAGGUGGCUAUGGAAGCUUUGAAAGGUUUACCGAACACGUUCCAAAAUUUGCCUUUUCAAAACAAACGGGGCAUACGCCCCAUCAAAAGAAAAACGUCCAGCCCCGUGAUAAACCUGUCCCAGGGGAUAAUUCCACCACAUGCUUAUCCUAGGAGGGUCUUUUAACAAGUGUUUAACUACAUAAAAGAUGCAAAGUAACACAAGCGAACAGAACUAUCAGGUAUCAGAAGGCCGGCUCCAGAGGCACGUUAUCCUCCAUUUGGGACAUUUGUGCCAUCGCCAAAAUAACAGCCUAUUUCAUCAUCUACCUGAGGGAAAAGGAAGGAAAAAGGAUUUGGAUGGGGAUAGGGACAGGUAGGGAAAUAGGAAAAAUACCCUGGAAGAGGGUACUAACGCACAAGCGUACCACAAUGGGUUCAAACAGCGCCCUGAAAAGGGCACUGUAAUUACGCAUAAAGCGAAAGAGAGCCUAUAGCUCUUUACCACAGCGGGUUAAGAACAACAGAAUAUCCUGAAGAUUCAGGUUUCUGUAGUCAGUUUCACUUAAUAAGUGUUUACCAAAUACUCGGAAACGCAGUUGCGCGAAAACUGGACAGUUACAUAUCAAAUGAUACGAAGUUCCAUAAUCGGAUUCACAGCUGUCACAGGUAAAUGAAUCAGCUUGCUGAAUAUUCGCCAUGUGAUAGCUGAAUCGGCAGUGGCCAGUCAAUGCUUUGACCAGCAUGCUGCAAUUCUGCUUAGACAGAUUAGUUAGAUACUUCGCCACCCGUAGAGAUGGCUCAGCACUAUACAAUUUGGUUUGACGACAUGACUCCAAACUAUUCCAAUAUUGUCUGUGUUGAGUGACAGCCCAGGAGUGAAUCUGAAGCUUAAUCGAACACUUCGAUAUCGGAAUAGCUGGCUCAGGGCCAAUGAAGUCAUGUGAUGCUCCAGAGCGAGCUAACUCAUCAGCCAAUUCAUUUCCAGCGAUGGAAGAAUGACCAGGUACCCAUAGAAGGUGAACAGCGUUUGCUGAAUUCAGCUCCUCGAUUUGAAUUCGACAAGCGAUAACUACCUUCGACCUGUAGUUGGCCGAAACAAGUGCUUUAAUAGCAGCCUGGCUAUCUGAACAGAAGUAUAUUACUUUGCCCAUUACGUGCUGCUGAAGUGCUGAUUGCACUCCGCAUAUAAGAGCAAAGAUUUCGGCCUGAAAAACGGUGCAGUGUCUACCAAGUGAGUAAGACUGAUACAGCCUUAGCUAACGAGAAUAAACACCAGCACCUGCUCGACCUUCGAGAAGGGAGCCAUCAGUGUAACAUACGAUGCCGUCUGAAAUACUUCUUUCCAGAUAACCAAAUGUCCACUCUUCUCGGGAAGGGAAUUUUGGCGCCUUAUUCCAUCUAUUGUUCACUGCAAAUCGUUGUUACUAAAGUUAUUGAAGUGUUGCAUGCGAACAUUGCCUUUGGAGAGGUGGCUAUGGAAGCUUUGAAAGGUUUUUCGAACACGUUCCAAAAUUUGCCUU